GAGGCCCGACAUUGUGCUGGGGAAGGAGCUCCAGAAAGGGCCAUCCUUUCUGUUUUGGUUCAGUAUCUGAACACUUUUGCUAAAGGUCUCUGGAAAGCUCCCUGUGUUAAUUCUCGAUGAGACUACGUCUGUGCCGGCCGCUUCCUGAGCCUCCUUCCAUGUGCAUAGGCCUGCUGCAUGCUGGAGACCUGCGGCACAGCUGCCAAGUGCCCCGUGUGGUUCUGUGAUCUUGGGACAGUCACUUCCUCUCUGUGGUUGUCAGUCUUCUCAUCCCUAAGAUGGAAUAAAAAGGCCUACCUCAUUGGGCUCGUGUGGGUGAGGAGAACUGAAGAGUCUGAGAGCGCGGCACGAGCCAGAGGCUACGGAAAACACUGCCCUCCUACACUCCACCUUGGAGAGACCCAGAAAAGAACAAGCUUCAUUUGUAAAAAAGGAAAACAACUCAGGCAAUGGGGGUGGCUUAAAGGCACUCUACAGUGUGCAGAUGCCUUCCACUUCUUCCAUCUGCCCUGUCUCUCCAAGAACCCCUAUGGCCCCGGUCUCAGAACAGAGCUGAGUGCAGAAAUGAAAAUCUAUGGCUCUGUGUUCCAAAACGAUGAAGAAUUUCAAGAUGGUGGCAGUGGUAAAAUCUUUCUCCAGGAAAAAUCUGUCCUUGGCCCAAUGUGUAAACACUUGCUGAGGAACUUGGAAUAACUUGCAGUGUCUUGCAGUAUUGUGAAACCAGCAACUUGUUCACAAUUCUUCUGAAUUUCUUGGGAAAUUUGAAGUGGAGUACCUGUACCAACAUGAAAUGACACGAAUUUAAGUGACGCUCAACAACGAAAAGCAAAAAGAACCAAAGAGGAAGCAACUGAAACAACAUCUGGAUGUAUUUAAAAAUAUACAAUGCCUCCAAAAUCAGGUGUCAUUAAUGAAAAUUCUGAAGAAAUGCCACCGGACAUAGCCAACGCACCUACGCUGUUGUUAUUCAUUUCCUGCUUUUCACAGAAAACAAUUUUGUUGCAUGGAAGAUCGUGAACUUCAAAGGGCAGAGGGGAAACUGUCCCUUGGCCUCUACCCCUCCAAGGCCCCACUUUUUUGUCAACACUCCUUGGACGCAGCAGAAGUAUGAACAUAAUAUGGUCCUGAAUGAGGCUGAGUCUUUGGGCGCAGAAGACCCGGGUUAAUAAAAAUAGGAAGGUAAGAAAAGAAAAGAAAAAUCAAGACACAUCAUAGGACUAAAUUCCUAUUAUUUAUCCACUCAGGAUUGACCACCCCUUUGGGCCAGAUAGUUGUACCCCCAUGUACCAGGUGGGCACAUGAAGACACAAGAAGUGCUGUGAUGGUUCAUUUUGCACGUCACCUUGCGUGGAGUAUGC
RNAcentral lists this long non-coding RNA (1358 nucleotides) under Homo sapiens (human). RNAcentral's name for it is "non-protein coding lnc-RPLP1-12:14". Lineage: Eukaryota; Metazoa; Chordata; Mammalia; Primates; Hominidae. The record is from RNAcentral.